This is a long non-coding RNA of Amphiprion ocellaris (clown anemonefish), 926 nucleotides long. Lineage: Eukaryota; Metazoa; Chordata; Actinopteri; Pomacentridae. The record is from Ensembl.
GCGCGUUAAAGUUUUGCGAAGCCAGGGGGCGGGGUUACUUGAUUGACAGUCCGGUCUGGAAUGAUUGACAGGUCCUAUGGAGGAGGAAGCAGAGACUCUGUUCUCCUCAUUUGGAUUAAUUCUGAUAUAAUAACUGUUGGUUUAUUUAUCGGUGGAGCAGCAGAACCUUUUCCACAGACAGUUUUCCUGCCCGUUGGCUUGUGUUGACCAGUUUUCUGCCUUCAGCUGAUUCUACCAGCAGACACUGAAAGGUCUUGUUCGGUGUCUCAUAUUCACUGUGAGGAUCUUCUGAUUGAAGCCAACAGAAGAAAAACCUCAUCUGGUUGUGAAGAAGGAGACUGAAUGGAUGACAUCCUCAGUGAACCAUUUCCUGUUUAACUUUCACUUACAGAAGGACAGAAACAAGACAAGUUGUAUUAUGAAGAGAGGAGCUGAAUCUGCAGCAUUAUUAUUAUUACUGGAAGGAUGAGGAGGACAUCAGUGCUGCUCUUCCUCACAGUGAUGAAGGAGAGAAGAUUCUUCAGACAACCACAGCUGGAUGUUCAUGUUCUCUGUAGCUCUCAGUCCAUCAGACCAGAUGUUCCCAAUGAUCCAGACCAAGGCUAGAAGGAAAAUACACUAACAAAGCCGGAAGGGGGAGCUCUCCACCGCUAUGCUUCAUUCGGACUGGAGCUGCCGAGGAAGCAUUGCAUAUCGUGAGCGUGCGCUUUUUGAUCCUCUUCUUCAGAGUGAAAGUAGCAGUUCCUCCUUAAGGUCACAGAUUGCAGCAUCUGAGGGCCUCUUCAAAAGAAGACGUAGUUGAUGAAGGCGUUCUGGAGCAGGACCAGAAAGACCACGACCAAGCAGCCUCGAGAUCUUAGGCAGCGUCUCCCUCGGACCAAAGAACUACAGACUCUUGGUACAGGACCUCACUACACGGGUCAAGA